RNAcentral lists this ribosomal RNA (301 nucleotides) under uncultured bacterium. RNAcentral's name for it is "partial 16S ribosomal RNA". It matches the Rfam family "Bacterial small subunit ribosomal RNA", at positions 509 to 809 of the family's 1533-position model. The record is from RNAcentral.
CAGUCGCCACGGUAAUACGAAGGGUGCAAGCGUUAUCCGGAUUCACUGGGUUUAAAGGGUGCGUAGGCGGGCAGGUAAGUCAGUGGUGAAAUCUUCGAGCUUAACUCGGAAACUGCCGUUGAUACUAUCUGUCUUGAAUAACGUUGAGGUGAGCGGAAUAUGUCAUGUAGCGGUGAAAUGCUUAGAUAUGACAUAGAACACCGAUUGCGAAGGCAGCUCACUAAACGCUCAUUGACGCUGAGGCACGAAAGCGUGGGGAUCAAACAGGAUUAGAUACCCCAGUAGUCCCUGUCUCUUAUAA